GAUCCUGGCUCAGGAUGAGCGCUAGCUACAGGCUUAACACAUGCAAGUCGAGGGGCAGCAUGAACUUAGCUUGCUAAGUUUGAUGGCGACCGGCGCACGGGUGAGUAACACGUAUCCAACCUGCCGAUGACUCGGGGAUAGCCUUUCGAAAGAAAGAUUAAUACCCGAUGGCAUAGUUCUUCCGCAUGGUAGAACUAUUAAAGAAAUUUCGGUCAUCGAUGGGGAGUGCGUUCCAUUAGG
Molecule: ribosomal RNA, 240 nt
Filed under: uncultured bacterium
Lineage: Bacteria
Description: partial 16S ribosomal RNA
Rfam family: Bacterial small subunit ribosomal RNA
Source: RNAcentral